UAUGACUCUCGGCAAUGGAUAUCUUGGCUCUUGCAUCGAUGAAGAGCGCAGCGAAAUGCGAUACGUGGUGUGAAUUGCAGAAUCCCGUGAACCAUCAAAUCUUUGAACGCAAGUUGCGCCCGAGGCCAUUUGGCUAAGGGCACGUCCGCCUGGGCGUCAAGC
RNAcentral lists this ribosomal RNA (162 nucleotides) under Ludisia discolor. RNAcentral's name for it is "5.8S ribosomal RNA". It matches the Rfam family "5.8S ribosomal RNA". From Rfam's summary of the family: 5.8S ribosomal RNA (5.8S rRNA) is a component of the large subunit of the eukaryotic ribosome. It is transcribed by RNA polymerase I as part of the 45S precursor that also contains 18S and 28S rRNA. The record is from RNAcentral. Lineage: Eukaryota; Viridiplantae; Streptophyta; Magnoliopsida; Asparagales; Orchidaceae.